CGUUACAACCAACAAUUCGCAACGGUGGCGCCGGCAGACUACUGAACGGCGACGGCGGCUCUGCGUGUAAGGAGCUAGUGUUUUAAAUCUCUACAUCAACAUGGAUCCUAAGCACUCAGGAAACGUUCUCAAGCAUUUGGAGAAGCAAAAGGAGCUUUUGAUGGAAGCAUACAGGUCGAUGUCUCAUGAACUACGCAAAUUGUAUGCCAGUUGAUAUCUCUAGUGAUUUUGUUUGAAAGUAUUUGAGGGGAACAUUCAGCAGAUGAACUAUGGCAGAACGAUAAAUGUGUCCCUACUUCCUUCUCUAAACAUUCUGUCAAGUAAAGGAUUAUUGAGAAUAUAAGAGUGCCGAUGUGAAAGAGAACGAGAACGAAGAACCUAUUGAAGCUGGAGCAUUGGUUGUUGCUAGCAAGGAAGAACAAUCAUGAACCUCCUUGAUAUGCUCAACUCCUUCAAUGUAGUGUCAGCUUAACUGAGUUUAUAAGCUUGUUUCUUUGCAUUUAAAACUUUGCUCCCUACUUCAUUAGUAAUAAUGCAAUGCAUGAUUGUAAGGUACUAAACUAUGUUGCUCAUAAAAUUCAAAACUACUUGAAGCUGAACAGAAGCAAAAUGAAGCACAUAAGAAAUAACCAAGUACAGAACAAGAUUAUACAUAGAUGUCACACAGAAUAUCAAAGCAAUCUAAGCUCUAUGAUUACUGAUAAUUGAUUCAACUAAAUACUGCAAAAGUUGUCACCAAAAGUGCUCCAAGACAGGAAAAACCGACAGCUCUAUCUCCACUUCACUAGGAUUGAGAUGGUUACUCGGAUCAGAGGUGAUGAUCAUGGCUGUGCCGCCGAAGCCACAAGUACCACCAUUGGCCUUUGUCUUCUGCCAGUAGCUAUUGAAGGCAUACGAGGCGUGAGCCACCACCGAGUCGGGGUAAUAGCAAUUCCCGUCUUCCUUAAUGGCAUCACAGUCGACAUCCCCUUCCCCGCACGCGUAAUCCAGCGCCUCCUGCAGUGUCUCCGCCGGCACACUAGGCUUCGCCACGCACCAUGUCCCGUGCACGUGGUGAGCGUGCGGUGGUAGUGGCGCCGGAGCCACCCCCACUGAGCGAGACGGUUCGCACGGCGGCAAAUGCGGCCCAUACGGAGGGCUCGCAAUGUACGGAGCCGGCACGUGGUAGUUCGGCUGCGGCUGCAGCGGGAUGGUUCCCACCAACGGAGGCAGAGCGAAUGUCGGGAUCGAAGGAGACGGCUGCGGUGGGAAUGGAUUCGGAUUCUUCACCUUGUGAGUGAGCUGUCUCCUUAUAACAUUGCUCAUAAUCAUAGAAACCCCAAGAUUUUUCAUGGCGUUGGAGUGGGAUUUCUCCAGAGCUGGCUGUGGAGGAUACACAACAUAAGGGGACUUGACUCCUUCCAAGAAGGUAAGCAAGGGUUUGAUGUAACUCUGUGCCACGUCAUCUCGGUAAGAUUCGGAGAGUGGAUCCAGGCAGUCGGAGGAGAAGGCGGCGGCGGCUUUGAUUUGGUGGUGAAGAGCCCAUCUAGUGAGGGAGUGGUGGAGGUUCUUGACAGCUGGAAGAAGCAAACCGAAGUUGUGGUGCUGGUCUCCGCGGCAUAGCACAUUGCAGCCGACAACGAUGGUGGUUAUGUUGGUGGAAGGGUAGUGGGGAAGAACGUGGGUUCGCAGCCAGUUUUCAGCGGCGAGGACGCUGGCCGAGACGUUCUUGAGGUGCUGGGCUUCCACGUGGACGGCGGCGGAUUGAGAGUUAGCUGCAGAGAAGGGAAUAUGAGUUAGUUUGAGGAGAAUGAAGAGACAAUGUGAAGAAGAUUCUUACCGGUGAAGCAUAGGAGGAAGAAGAAGAAGAGAGGGAGCGAGACAGCCAUGUUCAUUUCCUGGGCUGCCGGAGAGUGGAGAACAGCUUGAGGAAACACUCCCUCUCUCUGUGUAUUGGUGUGUCUGAGAGGGUCUGACAUUCAACGCUGUCCUUUAUUUGCAGGGGGGACUUAGGAGCAUAGCAUUGCACAAGUGAUAGCCAUCUGUCCUGACUGGAAAAGUGCAUUAGGUUGUCCACGGUCCACAACUCCACAUCAGACAAAGCAGUGCUCCGGCGAUCCACCCCCACAGGGCGGAAUG
Molecule: non-coding RNA, 2118 nt
Organism: Salvia hispanica
Lineage: Eukaryota; Viridiplantae; Streptophyta; Magnoliopsida; Lamiales; Lamiaceae
Source: RefSeq, a predicted model, not a curated record